Vicia villosa (hairy vetch) is the source of this 1177-nucleotide long non-coding RNA. RefSeq lists it as uncharacterized. The transcript has 3 exons. Lineage: Eukaryota; Viridiplantae; Streptophyta; Magnoliopsida; Fabales; Fabaceae. The record is from RefSeq and is a predicted model, not a curated record.
UUGAAAGCCUUGGAACCAACUUCAUGUAUGCACUACCAGAUUGAAUAUACCAUAUAGGAACUUUAAUGGUUCUGAAAAAUAUUUUUCUACCUUUGCCUCUUAAUUUGUCACUUUUUCAAACUAAGGGUAAUUUGUGUCCAAAAAAUAUUUUUUACAACUAAUGAUGUCAUAUAUUUCAGAUUCAAAUACAUGGUUGUAUUUAUUUGCCUUUGAUAAUCCAGUUGGAAUGGUUUGAUGAUGUCACAUAGGGUUGUUUGGUUACAAAUUAACUAAUGUAACCCCACUUUAUUUUGAUUUAACGAAUACCAAUUCAUCACAUCCCUUUUCCAUAUUUCUCUCUUCCCAACAUCAUCUCUCUCUUCCUCUUCUUUCUUCUCUUUUCCCUCUCUUCCUCUUCCUCUUCUCUCUUCCAUCUCUUCCUCUUCUUAUUUCUAAUCUCUUCUUUCUGCUUCAGAUUUGGUUGCUUCUAUUUUGUAGAGAUACUGUUUUGCAGAGAUUUGGUUUCUUCUCACAAGUGGAAGCUUUCAUGAUUUAACAGAGAUACUGUUUUGCAGAACAAGAGAGAAGGAAGAAAGAGAAACAGAAACAGAAACAAAAGAACAAGAAAAAUGAAAGAGGGAAGAAAGGGGGUGUGCCUAAUUUGUGGGGGAAAGUAUGGUACUAUUAGAGAAACUGAUAUGUGAAAAGCAAAGGAGUCAAUUAAUCUCCUUGUCUGACUGACUCCUCUUGAGCAUGCAAAGCAACCUUCAUGAUUACCAUUAACAAAAAUCUUGAGCAAAAUCCAAAAGCAUAAAGCACUUUGAACAUGAAGUUACAGUCUAUGACCAUAACUUGAACGACGAGAAUCGGAUUCAUGCAUUCUGAUAUACAUUGGAAAUAUAAGAGAAAGAGCUACAAGUUUUGUAUUGAAGCCAAAAGCUGUUUCAAAGUGCAUAAAUCUCAAAUAAUUCGUUAAAGUUCCAAACUUAAGAAAUAUUUAGUGUUUGGGCCAAUUUUAUGUUUUCCGACCUGGUUUUAAUUAGAAUUACGAAUCCUUAUUUUGUUUAAGAGCAUUCAGCCGCGGUAGUGUUCAUUCUCUCUGAAUUUUACUGUUCACAAAAAUUUCUAAAGCUUUUUUCAUUUGUAAUGGAGAACUAAUCCCAAGGCAAAAUAUGUUGAUUACAAGUUCCAUCAUACU